AUUGAACGCUGGCGGCAGGCUUAACACAUUCAAGUCGAGCGGAGAGAGGUAGCUUGCUACUGAUCUUAGCGGCGGACGGGUGAGUAAUGCUUAGGAAUCUGCCUAUUAGUGGGGGACAACAUUUCGAAAGGAAUGCUAAUACCGCAUACGUCCUACGGGAGAAAGCAGGGGAUCUUCGGACCUUGCGCUAAUAGAUGAGCCUAAGUCGGAUUAGCUAGUUGGUGGGGUAAAGGCCUACCAGGGCGACGAUCUGUAGCGGGUCUGAGAGGAUGAUCCGCCACACUGGGACUGAGACACGGCCCAGACUCCUACGGGAGGCAGCAGUGGGGAAUAUUGGACAAUGGGCGCAAGCCUGAUCCAGCCAUGCCGCGUGUGUGAAGAAGGCCUUAUGGUUGUAAAGCACUUUAAGCGAGGAGGAGGCUACUUUAGUUAAUACCUAGAGAUAGUGGACGUUACUCGCAGAAUAAGCACCGGCUAACUCUGUG
RNAcentral lists this ribosomal RNA (485 nucleotides) under uncultured bacterium. RNAcentral describes it as "partial 16S ribosomal RNA". It matches the Rfam family "Bacterial small subunit ribosomal RNA", at positions 30 to 507 of the family's 1533-position model. The record is from RNAcentral.